GAUGAACGCUGGCGGCGCGCCUAACACAUGCAAGUCGAACGAUUAAAGCACCUUCGGGUGUGUAUAAAGUGGCGAACGGCUGAGUAACACGUGGGCAACCUGCCCCUCUCAUUGGGAUAGCCACGGGAAACCGUGGAUAAUACCGAAUACUUCGGCACUUCCGCAUGGAAGACUCGAGAAAGCUCCGGCGGAGAGGGAUGGGCCCGCGGCCUGUUAGCUUGUUGGUGGGGUAAUGGCCUACCAAGGCAAUGAUGGGUAGCUGGGUUGAGAGACCGACCAGCCAGAUUGGGACUGAGACACGGCCCAGACUCCUACGGGAGGCAGCAGUGGGGAAUCUUGCACAAUGGGCGAAAGCCUGAUGCAGCGACGCCGCGUGCGGGAUGAAGGCCUUCGGGUUGUAAACCGCUUUCAGCAGGGACGAGGCGAAAGUGACGGUACCUGCAGAAGAAGCCCCGGCUAACUACGUG
RNAcentral lists this ribosomal RNA (467 nucleotides) under uncultured bacterium. RNAcentral's name for it is "partial 16S ribosomal RNA". It matches the Rfam family "Bacterial small subunit ribosomal RNA", at positions 28 to 507 of the family's 1533-position model. The record is from RNAcentral.